AGCAACAUAGUGCUUUUGUUGUAUGUGCACCUGGAUUUUGAGUAUGUUGUUGUUGGUACUACUUUGUGGGGUUUGACAUCUUUAUGUGCUGAUGGGUUUGGAGGUCCUUAGUGCAUGCUACUCUAUUAUUAGCAACAUAGUGCUUUUGUUGUAAGUGCACUUGAAUUUGUUCCUGUCACUAUUUGAAUGUGAAUAUUAGCACUAAAGCUAGGAUAGUAGAUGAGGUUAUCAUUUCAUGGGUUAGCGAAUACUAUGUGCUAUAGCUCUUGGCUGGCAAACUGAAAAAUGUGAUUUUCAGAAGAGUUCAUAGAGAAGACCAGAAUGACUCAAAUCCAGGAAAUACAAUCGUAUAAUAACACAUCCAUGAAACAACACCAAAUGACUCAAUCCAGGAAAUGCAAUCGUAUAAUAACACAUCCAUGAAACAACACCAAAUGACUCAAUCCAGGAAAUGCAAUCGUAUAAUAACACAUCCAUGAAACAACACCAAAUGACUCAAUCCAGGAAAUGCAAUCGUAUAAUAACACAUCCAUGAAACAACACCAAAUGACUCAAUCCAGGAAAUGCAAUCGUAUAAUAACACAUCCAUGAAACAACACCAAAUGACUCAAUCCAGGAAAUGCAAUCGUAUAAUAACACAUCCAUGAAACAACACCAAAUGACUCAAUCCAGGAAUGCUGCAACCAUGGAACAACGCAUCCAUGGAACAAGACCACAAUGACUCCAUUGAGGAAUAAAAUGAAUUCUCUUUCAGUUGAUCGUGGCAUGCCCUUUGCUAAGAUAUGUGUUUGGUCCAUUUGGUAUCACAACUUUCAAUCGGAAAUCUGUUUUUAAGUUGUUAACGUCAUGUUAUAAGUUGUUAACUGAUUCAUUUUGAGUUUUUGAAUGGUGGUAUAGUGUUGGACACACCAAAUCAUAAGUUGUUGGAACUCCUUCAAAUACUAAUGUGGAAUACAGUAUGCUGGACUCAUCUAGGAGAAUUCUUGUUUAAAAUUGUUAAACUUGUUUACUUCAUAACACAUAUAGUUCUGACUCUACUACUAUUUCAUCCUAGCAGGAAUAAGUAUUGAGCCACUCCUCUCGAGGGCACACAUUGUUUGCUAAUUUCUCUCAGCUUGAGCACUGUUUAUGUAAUUGAUACAGCAGGUUGGUCUCCGAAUUGACUUGUGAAAAAACCCUAGUGUCAUAUGCUUAAACAUCCGCGUGGUGCCAUAAACGUAGUCCAUGACCACCUUUUGUGUACAUCCAAUGUACAUUGAACGCUUGGAUCAAACCCCUCUUUGACACCAGAAUGUCAUGUCCCUAAGAAAUGUUACAUCCUCUUUAGUUCUUCAUUGAUUCUGUUAUUUGCAGCAAUUUGAAUGACAUGGAGACAGCUCUGUUGGUUUUAAUAGGUAUUGAGCUUUUGAAGGUUGUUCUAAUGUGUUAAUGUUCCAACUAUCUUUAAGUUGCUAUCUUAUUUUUAAGUGGAUAAACUUCUUGAUUUGUCUAUUGGAAACCGCCUCUCUGAGGUAGGCAUGAAGUCUACGUACACUCUACCCUUUCCGAACCCUACGUUCUGAGACUACACUGUGUAUGUUGUAGCUUCUUGAUUUGUCUUUGGAGAUCUAAUCCUUUUGCUAUAUAUCCUUUCUUGCUAUUAUACAUCCUUUUACUGUCAUUAGCUGCACAGUAUUAAAACAAGUUCCAUAAUUGUGGACUCAAGGCCUGAUGAUAUCACUAAGUUAUGUUGCUCGGAUCCUCAAAUGCGCGCUGCAUCCUUGUCGGAUCCUUCAAAACUGCUAACUUUUGGUCAACUCGACACAC
Molecule: long non-coding RNA, 1806 nt
Filed under: Solanum tuberosum (potato)
Lineage: Eukaryota; Viridiplantae; Streptophyta; Magnoliopsida; Solanales; Solanaceae
Description: long non-coding RNA (STUB_LNC003335)
Source: RNAcentral